This 1014-nucleotide unclassified non-coding RNA is filed under the name Hevea brasiliensis (rubber tree). The record is from RNAcentral. Lineage: Eukaryota; Viridiplantae; Streptophyta; Magnoliopsida; Malpighiales; Euphorbiaceae.
GGUAAGAUUAGUAUUAUUAUUAUAAUAAUUAUUAUUAAUUUUUGGUUUUCUCUUCUCUGAAGUUUUCAUUUUUCUUCUUGUUUUGUGUCAAAAGUUCUCUCUAUACAAAAGCUUCUUAAGGUUUGUUUUAUCAGAAGCUGCUAUUCAAUUUCCUUGAUUUUGAGUCAUUUUCUUUUUUACUACCUUCUUUGCUAGGUUGUGCCUACAGAGAUUGAUUUUUGGGAUGAAGAAAAAAACUGUGGUUUGAUUUUAUAAUCUUUGUGUUUGAGUUUUCGUGGGUUAUUUCAGUAUUUUGAAAGUCUAUUUUGAAAGUCUUACUCGUUGAUUGUUAAAUGGAGGAUAGAGUUUGGUCCCUAAUCAUGGAUUUUCAUUCAUAUUUUCUUUUGGUUAGUUAUGAACUGUUUACUCCCCAUGUGAAUCACGAGACCAGAAGAUUUUUUGGGUUUUAUUUUGUUUCUUCCAUCUAUCUAGAUUAAAGCUUGUGGUUUACCUUGAAAAAUCUUCAGUUUGUUGUUUUGAUUUUUGAGUUUUCUAUUAUUGUCUUCCUUUAACUGGUAUUGCUUCGUCCACAGCCUAGCUAGUUAGCUCCUUCAUUCUUUUGCGAGCUCUGUUUAUGACAGUGAAUUCUCGCGUUUAAUCUAUAUUAUCAUUACUUCGCUUUUUUUAGAUUUGAUUGCUGGUGAUAAGGUAGUGGAUUGUAGUUGCUCAAAGUCUUAAUUUUGAGCACUUUUUCUGGGUUUGCCCACAUAAAAUAACGGUUACCCAGGAUACUUUUAGGGGUUUCAACAUCAUCUUUGCUUGUGGGUUUCGUUCUUUUGUUUAUUUUGUGCUUUGCUUGAUCAAUCAAAACACCGAUACUUCAAUUUCACUUAUUCUCAUCACAUAAAAUAACGGUUCUAGAAUAUGCUAGCUAGUCCGCCAUAUUCUUCUGGGUUUGUUGAUCUCAUUAUGUGUUUUAAUGUCUGUUGCAGGAAGGCUGAUGGAUGAAGAUUCUAGUGGGGUUGCUUGAUCUUG